CCUACGGGCGGCAGCAGUGAGGAAUAUUGGUCAAUGGACGAGAGUCUGAACCAGCCAAGUAGCGUGAAGGAUGACUGCCCUAUGGGUUGUAAACUUCUUUUAUAUGGGAAUAAAAUGUUCCACGUGUGUGAUUUUGUAUGUACCAUAUGAAUAAGGAUCGGCUAACUCCGUGCCAGCAGCCGCGGUAAUACGGAGGAUCCGAGCGUUAUCCGGAUUUAUUGGGUUUAAAGGGAGCGUAGGUGGAUUGUUAAGUCAGUUGUGAAAGUUUGCGGCUCAAACGUAAAAUUGCAGUUGAAACUGGCAGUCUUGAGUACAGUAGAGGUGGGCGGAAUGCGUGGUGUAGCGGUGAAAUGCUUAGAUAUCACGAAGAACUCCGAUUGCGAAGGCAGUUCACUGGACUGCAACUGACACUGAGGCUCGAAAGUGUGGGUAUCAAACAGGAUUAGAUACCCGGGUAGUC
RNAcentral lists this ribosomal RNA (460 nucleotides) under uncultured bacterium. Its description in RNAcentral is "partial 16S ribosomal RNA". It matches the Rfam family "Bacterial small subunit ribosomal RNA", at positions 338 to 795 of the family's 1533-position model. The record is from RNAcentral.